This 445-nucleotide ribosomal RNA is filed under the name uncultured bacterium. Its description in RNAcentral is "partial 16S ribosomal RNA". It matches the Rfam family "Bacterial small subunit ribosomal RNA", at positions 354 to 796 of the family's 1533-position model. The record is from RNAcentral.
GUGAGGAAUAUUGGUCAAUGGUCGGAAGACUGAACCAGCCAUGCCGCGUGCAGGAAGACGGUCCUAUGGAUUGUAAACUGCUUUUAUUCGGGGAUAAACCUCCUUACGUGUAGGGAGCUGAAGGUACCGAAAGAAUAAGCACCGGCUAACUCCGUGCCAGCAGCCGCGGUAAUACGGAGGGUGCAAGCGUUAUCCGGAAUCAUUGGGUUUAAAGGGUCCGCAGGCGGGAUUGUAAGUCAGUGGUGAAAUCCGGCAGCUCAACUGUCGCACUGCCAUUGAUACUGCAGUCCUUGAAUUCGAUUGGAGUGGGCGAAAUAUGUCAUGUAGCGGUGAAAUGCUUAGAUAUGACAUAGAACACCGAUAGCGAAGGCAGCUCACUAAGUCUGAAUUGACGCUCAUGGACGAAAGCGCGGGUAGCAAACAGGAUUAGAAACCCGAGUAGUCC